GGCCUUAUGGGUUGUAAACUUCUUUUGUAUGGGAAGAAAAGCAGUUACGUGUAAUUGUCUGCCGGUACCAUACGAAUAAGGAUCGGCUAACUCCGUGCCAGCAGCCGCGGUAAUACGGAGGAUCCAAGCGUUAUCCGGAUUUAUUGGGUUUAAAGGGUGCGUAGGCGGCUCUAUAAGUCAGUAGUGAAAUCUCGAAGCUCAACUUCGAACGUGCUAUUGAAACUGUAGAGCUUGAGUACAGACGAGGCAGGCGGAAUGUGUUGUGUAGCGGUGAAAUGCUUAGAUAUAACACAGAACACCGAUAGCGAAGGCAGCUUGCCAGACUGUAACUGACGCUGAGGCACGAAAGCGUGGGGAGCAAACAGGAUUAGAUACCCUGGUAGUCCACGCCGUAAACGAUGAUUACUGGUUGUAGGCGAUACAUUGUCUGUGACUGAGCGAAAGUAUUAAGUAAUCCACCUGGGGAGUACGUCGGCAACGAUGAAACUCAAAGGAAUUGACGGGGGCCCGCGCAAGCGGAGGAACAUGUGGUUUAAUUCGAUGAUACGCGAGGAACCUUACCUGGACUUAAAUGUAGAUUGCAUAGAGUGGAGACAUUCUUUUCUUCGGACUAUCUACAAGGUGCUGCAUGGUUGUCGUCAGCUCGUGCCGUGAGGUGUCGGGUUAAGUCCCAUAACGAGCGCAACCCCUAUCGUUAGUUGCUAGCAGGUAAUGCUGAGAACUCUAGCGAGACUGCCACCGUAAGGUGUGAGGAAGGUGGGGAUGACGUCAAAUCAGCACGGCCCUUACGUCCAGGGCUACACACGUGUUACAAUGGCAGGUACAAAGGGCAGCUACAUAGCGAUAUGAUGCUAAUCUCAAAAACCUGUCUCAGUUCGGAUAGGAGUCUGCAACUCGACUCCUUGAAGCUGGAUUCGCUAGUAAUCGUAUAUCAGCAAUGAUACGGUGAAUACGUUCCCGGGCCUUGUACACACCGCCCGUCAAGCCAUGGAAGUUAGGGGUACCUAAAGUACGUAACCGCAAGGAGCGUCCUAGGGUAAAACUGGUAACUGGGGCUAAGUCGUAACAAGGUAGCCGUACCGGAAGGUGUGGCUGGAACACCUCCUUUCU
RNAcentral lists this ribosomal RNA (1110 nucleotides) under uncultured Marinilabiliaceae bacterium. Its description in RNAcentral is "bacterial SSU rRNA". It matches the Rfam family "Bacterial small subunit ribosomal RNA", at positions 413 to 1533 of the family's 1533-position model. Lineage: Bacteria; Pseudomonadati; Bacteroidota; Bacteroidia; Marinilabiliales; Marinilabiliaceae. The record is from RNAcentral.